GUUCAGUGUAGUAUAGGUGUCAUUUCCUAAUAAUGGACAGUUUCCCUUUAAGACCAAACCUAGGAUUGGCACCAGCAUGGAAUGUAGAAUGAAUCACGAGCGAUGAGUCCCAGGAUCACAUGACUUCACUCAGGGCCCAACUGCCAGUCACUUCCUAUUUCGCGCGCUUUCCAGGCUGCCAUGCUGUACUGCCUAGAAACAAGCUCCGCCCAUCUCCGUCACGAGCUGAUCGGCCUGUUCUAUACGCCAGAGACCAAAACCCCUUUCCAGUCAGUCUCCGUUACUAAAGGACGAAGGCGUUAAUGGCCGUUAUAGCCCUAGCGGGUGAUUAAUAUUGUCUGUCCCAUAGCAAUGUGUUGGCCCCGAGCCCUCGAACAGUGACAGUAACGGCCUUAGAAACGCAUGCCAACCAGCGAGGCGCUGCUCACAUUCCGUCAUCGGCCGCGGUCGGUCACUCUCUCAGUUUUUCUCCGAAGCUCGGGCCAAUGAACGCCCGGCGAGC
Non-coding RNA from Pelobates cultripes (western spadefoot toad), 502 nucleotides. NCBI's taxonomy places the organism in Eukaryota, Metazoa, Chordata, Amphibia, Anura, Pelobatidae. The record is from the annotation of a GenBank genome assembly.